GUAGCCAAGUACGGACGGGAUAAGCGCUGAAAGCAUCUAAGCGUGAAGCCCCCCUCAAGAUGAGAUUUCCCAGUAUGUAAGACCCCUUGAAGACGACGAGGUUGAUAGGUUCGGGGUGGAAGCACAGCAAUGUGUGGAGCUGACGAAUACUAAUCGGUCGAGGGCUUAUCCUAA
Molecule: ribosomal RNA, 174 nt
Filed under: Paenibacillus paeoniae
Lineage: Bacteria; Bacillati; Bacillota; Bacilli; Caryophanales; Paenibacillaceae
Description: partial 23S ribosomal RNA
Rfam family: Bacterial large subunit ribosomal RNA
Source: RNAcentral